RNAcentral lists this ribosomal RNA (1363 nucleotides) under Salmonella enterica subsp. enterica serovar Derby. RNAcentral's name for it is "partial 23S ribosomal RNA". It matches the Rfam family "Bacterial large subunit ribosomal RNA", at positions 1589 to 2925 of the family's 2925-position model. RNAcentral also lists the same sequence under 2 other names. The record is from RNAcentral. Lineage: Bacteria; Pseudomonadati; Pseudomonadota; Gammaproteobacteria; Enterobacterales; Enterobacteriaceae.
AGCAACAAAUGCCCUGCUUCCAGGAAAAGCCUCUAAGCAUCAGGUAACAUCAAAUCGUACCCCAAACCGACACAGGUGGUCAGGUAGAGAAUACCAAGGCGCUUGAGAGAACUCGGGUGAAGGAACUAGGCAAAAUGGUGCCGUAACUUCGGGAGAAGGCACGCUGACACGUAGGUGAAGUGAUUUACUCACGGAGCUGAAGUCAGUCGAAGAUACCAGCUGGCUGCAACUGUUUAUUAAAAACACAGCACUGUGCAAACACGAAAGUGGACGUAUACGGUGUGACGCCUGCCCGGUGCCGGAAGGUUAAUUGAUGGGGUCAGCGCAAGCGAAGCUCCUGAUCGAAGCCCCGGUAAACGGCGGCCGUAACUAUAACGGUCCUAAGGUAGCGAAAUUCCUUGUCGGGUAAGUUCCGACCUGCACGAAUGGCGUAAUGAUGGCCAGGCUGUCUCCACCCGAGACUCAGUGAAAUUGAACUCGCUGUGAAGAUGCAGUGUACCCGCGGCAAGACGGAAAGACCCCGUGAACCUUUACUAUAGCUUGACACUGAACAUUGAGCCUUGAUGUGUAGGAUAGGUGGGAGGCUUUGAAGUGUGGACGCCAGUCUGCAUGGAGCCGACCUUGAAAUACCACCCUUUAAUGUUUGAUGUUCUAACGUGGACCCGUAAUCCGGGUUGCGGACAGUGUCUGGUGGGUAGUUUGACUGGGGCGGUCUCCUCCUAAAGAGUAACGGAGGAGCACGAAGGUUGGCUAAUCCUGGUCGGACAUCAGGAGGUUAGUGCAAUGGCAUAAGCCAGCUUGACUGCGAGCGUGACGGCGCGAGCAGGUGCGAAAGCAGGUCAUAGUGAUCCGGUGGUUCUGAAUGGAAGGGCCAUCGCUCAACGGAUAAAAGGUACUCCGGGGAUAACAGGCUGAUACCGCCCAAGAGUUCAUAUCGACGGCGGUGUUUGGCACCUCGAUGUCGGCUCAUCACAUCCUGGGGCUGAAGUAGGUCCCAAGGGUAUGGCUGUUCGCCAUUUAAAGUGGUACGCGAGCUGGGUUUAGAACGUCGUGAGACAGUUCGGUCCCUAUCUGCCGUGGGCGCUGGAGAACUGAGGGGGGCUGCUCCUAGUACGAGAGGACCGGAGUGGACGCAUCACUGGUGUUCGGGUUGUCAUGCCAAUGGCACUGCCCGGUAGCUAAAUGCGGAAGAGAUAAGUGCUGAAAGCAUCUAAGCACGAAACUUGCCCCGAGAUGAGUUCUCCCUGAGACUUAGAGUCUCCUGAAGGAACGUUGAAGACGACGACGUUGAUAGGCCGGGUGUGUAAGCGCAGCGAUGCGUUGAGCUAACCGGUACUAAUGAACCGUGAGGCUUAACCUUACA